UAGGGAAUCUUCCACAAUGGACGCAAGUCUGAUGGAGCAACGCCGCGUGAGUGAAGAAGGUUUUCGGACCGUAAAGCUCUGUUGUUGGUGAAGAAGGAUAGAGGUAGUAACUGGCCUUUAUUUGACGGUAAUCAACCAGAAAGUCACGGCUAACUACGUGCCAGCAGCCGCGGUAAUACGUAGGUGGCAAGCGUUGUCCGGAUUUAUUGGGCGUAAAGCGAGCGCAGGCGGAAGAAUAAGUCUGAUGUGAAAGCCCUCGGCUUAACCGAGGAAUUGCAUCGGAAACUGUUUUCUUGAGUGCAGAAGAGGAGAGUAGAACUCCAUGUGUAGCGGUAGAAUGCGUAGAUAUAUGGAAGAAUACCAGUGGCGAAGGCGGCUCUCUGGUCUGCAACUGACGCUGAGGCUCGAAAGCAUGGGUAGCGAACAGGAUUAGAUACCCUGGUAGUCCAUGCCGUAAACGAUGAGUGCUAAGUGUUGGGAGGCUUCCGCCUCUCAGUGCUGCAGCUAACGCAUUAAGCACUCCGCCUGGGGAGUACGACCGCAAGGUUGAAAC
Molecule: ribosomal RNA, 553 nt
Filed under: uncultured bacterium
Lineage: Bacteria
Description: partial 16S ribosomal RNA
Rfam family: Bacterial small subunit ribosomal RNA
Source: RNAcentral